GUCUACGGCCGCGCCACCCCGAACAAGCCCCAUGUCUGAUCUCGGAAGCUAAGCAGGGUUGGGCCUGGUGAGUCCUUGGAUGGGAGACCACCUAGGAAAGACCAGGUGCUGUAGGCG
Molecule: ribosomal RNA, 117 nt
Filed under: Pteropus alecto (black flying fox)
Lineage: Eukaryota; Metazoa; Chordata; Mammalia; Chiroptera; Pteropodidae
Source: RNAcentral